This is a non-coding RNA of Lolium perenne, 1069 nucleotides long. The record is from RefSeq and is a predicted model, not a curated record. Lineage: Eukaryota; Viridiplantae; Streptophyta; Magnoliopsida; Poales; Poaceae.
UCUCCCACCGAUCCUGCCGCUCUUAUAAGUCCAGCCCGCGCCGCCGCGCGCCCCUCCCCUCCUCCCCCGAGCGGACUGAGAGGAAGGAAGGCGGGCGGGCUGGUGGAGAGAGCGGGAGAGUGAGACGAAGCUCCAUGGCGAAGAUUUACGUGCAGGCGGUGCCACCGGCGGAUCUGAACAAGAACACGGAGUGGUUCAUGUACCCGGGCGUAUGGACGACCUACAUCCGCAUCCUCUGCUUCUCCUGGCUCCUCGCCCUUUCCGUAUUCGGUUGCACCGCAGGCAUGCAUGGACCGUCGUCAACCUCUUCUACUUCGCGACUACAAUCUACAUACCACUUUUUCCAUUGGAAGAAGGGAACACCUUUUGCUGAUGACCAGGGAAUGUACAAUACAUUGAUUUGGUGGGAAUAAAUGGAUAGUGGUCAACAGCUUACUCAUAACAGGAAGUUUCCCAUGGUGGUUCCUGUAGUGCUAUAUUUCAUCGCUUUGCACACCACGAACUACCAACAUCCUAUGCUCUUUCUGAAUACUCUUGCAGUUACGGUGCUGGUGGUUGCCAAACUACCGAAUAUGCAUAAGGUCCGGAUUUUUGGAAUAAAUGCUGGAAACUAGGCAGGCAUUCUUUAGCAAUUACAUAUGCUCCUUCCAGAAUGGUGCCGAUGUAUUGACCUUUCCUACUUAAUAGGGCUGAUCAGAGUGCCAGUGACUGGUGUCAAUAGCUAUUAGCAGAUCGGCUGUAUUCAUUGCAUAAAGAGAUGCUCACCUGAUGUACACGAAUUAUAUAGACGCUUAAUGCUGAUAUAUGCUCUGAUACAAGGAUCUGCCAGUUUUGAUACGUGUGCUGUGAACAUUCCCUUGGCUUUUAUAAUUGGUAGGUAUCUCAGUGCUGACUGUGUGUCAGUAGUCUGUACGCAGACGUUGACGAACAGUGUGGCAAAAAUGUUACAAGGAGGUGUUGAUGCAGUGUCUACAUCAUUACUACCAACAGUUGUGCUGGAUGUAUAUGCACAUGCCAGAGAGAUCCGAAAUGUGUAACACGAGACUUUGAUCUGUUCGGUGAAAGAAUC